GACGAACGCUGGCGGCGUGCUUAACACAUGCAAGUCGAACGGAAAGGCCCUGCUUUUGUGGGGUGCUCGAGUGGCGAACGGGUGAGUAACACGUGAGUAACCUGCCCUUGACUUUGGGAUAACUUCAGGAAACUGGGGCUAAUAUCGGAUAGGAGCUCCUGCUGCAUGGUGGGGGUUGGAACGUUUCGGCGGUUGGGGAUGGACUCGCGGCUUAUCAGCUUGUUGGUGGGGUAGUGGCUUACCAAGGCUUUGACGGGUAGUCGGCCUGAGAGGGUGACCGGCCACAUUGGGACUGAGGUACGGCCCAGACUCCUACGGGAGACAGCAGUGGGGAAUAUUGCACAAUGAGCGGAAGCCUGAUGCGGCAACGCCGCGUGCGGGAUGACGGCCUUCGGGUUAUAAACCGCUUUCGCCUGUGACGAAGCGUGAGUGACGGUAAUGGGUAAAGAAGCACCGGCUAACUACGUG
This 468-nucleotide ribosomal RNA is filed under the name uncultured bacterium. RNAcentral describes it as "partial 16S ribosomal RNA". It matches the Rfam family "Bacterial small subunit ribosomal RNA", at positions 28 to 507 of the family's 1533-position model. The record is from RNAcentral.